AGAGUUUGAUCCUGGCUCAGAUUGAACGCUGGCGGAACGCUUUACACAUGCAAGUCGAACGGUAACGCGGAGAGAAGCUUGCUUCUCUCCGGCGACGAGUGGCGAACGGGUGAGUAAUACAUCGGAACGUGUCCGCUCGUGGGGGACAACCAGCCGAAAGGUUGGCUAAUACCGCAUGAGUUCUACGGAAGAAAGAGGGGGACCCGCAAGGGCCUCUCGCGAGCGGAGCGGCCGAUGACUGAUUAGCCGGUUGGUGAGGUAACGGCUCACCAAAGCAACGAUCAGUAGCUGGUCUGAGAGGACGACCAGCCACACUGGGACUGAGACACGGCCCAGACUCCUACGGGAGGCAGCAGUGGGGAAUUUUGGACAAUGGGCGCAAGCCUGAUCCAGCUAUUCCGCGUGUGGGAUGAAGGCCCUCGGGUUGUAAACCACUUUUGUAGAGAACGAAAAGACACCUUCGAAUAAAGGGUGUUGCUGACGGUACUCUAAGAAUAAGCACCGGCUAACUACGUGCCAGCAGCCGCGGUAAUACGUAGGGUGCGAGCGUUAAUCGGAAUUACUGGGCGUAAAGGGUGCGCAGGCGGUUGAGUAAGACAGAUGUGAAAUCCCCGAGCUUAACUCGGGAAUGGCAUAUGUGACUGCUCGACUAGAGUGUGUCAGAGGGAGGUGGAAUUCCACGUGUAGCAGUGAAAUGCGUAGAUAUGUGGAAGAACACCGAUGGCGAAGGCAGCCUCCUGGGACAUAACUGACGCUCAGGCACGAAAGCGUGGGGAGCAAACAGGAUUAGAUACCCUGGUAGUCCACGCCCUAAACGAUGUUAACUAGUUGUUGGGAAGUAAAAUUCUCAGUAACGCAGCCAACGCGAGAAGUUAACCGCCUGGGAAGUACGGUCGCAAGACUAAAACUCAAAGGAAUUGACGGGGACCCGCACAAGCGGUGGAUGAUGUGGAUUAAUUCGAUGCAACGCGAAAAACCUUACCUACCCUUGACAUGUCAGGAAGCUCUUGUAAUGAGAGCGUGCCCGCAAGGGAGCCUGAACACAGGUGCUGCAUGGCU
This 1059-nucleotide ribosomal RNA is filed under the name human gut metagenome. RNAcentral's name for it is "bacterial SSU rRNA". It matches the Rfam family "Bacterial small subunit ribosomal RNA", at positions 8 to 1050 of the family's 1533-position model. The record is from RNAcentral.